RNAcentral lists this ribosomal RNA (372 nucleotides) under uncultured organism. RNAcentral describes it as "partial 16S ribosomal RNA". It matches the Rfam family "Bacterial small subunit ribosomal RNA", at positions 527 to 896 of the family's 1533-position model. The record is from RNAcentral.
GUAGGUGGCAAGCGUUGUCCGGAAUUAUUGGGCGUAAAGCGCGCGCAGGCGGUCCUUUAAGUCUGAUGUGAAAGCCCACGGCUCAACCGUGGAGGGUCAUUGGAAACUGGGGACUUGAGUACAGAAGAGGAAAGCGGAAUUCCAAGUGUAGCGGUGAAAUGCGUAGAGAUUUGGAGGAGCACCAGUGGCGAAGGCGGCUUUCUGGUCUGUAACUGACGCUGAGGCGCGAAAGCGUGGGGAGCAAACAGGGAUUAGAUACCCUGGUAGUCCACGCCGUAAACGAUGAGUGCUAAGUGUUAGGGGGGUUUCCGCCCCCUUAGUGCUGCAGCUAACGCAUUAGGCACUCCGCCUGGGGAUACGGCUGCAAGGCUG